GGACCUGACUGCUAUCGGAUUGAUACUAAGCCAUGCGAGUCAUUGUAGUAAUACAAGGCAGACGGCUCAGUAACGCGUAGUCAACCUACCCUAUGGACGGGGAUAACCUCGGGAAACUGAGAAUAAUACCCGAUAGAACAUUAUACCUGGAAUGGUUUAUGUUUCAAAUAAUUUAUUGCCGUAGGAUGGGACUGCGGCCUAUCAGUUUGUUGGUGAGGUAAUGGCCCACCAAGACUAUUACAGGUACGGGCUCUGAGAGGAGUAGCCCGGAGAUGGGUACUGAGACACGGACCCAGGCCCUAUGGGGCGCAGCAGGCGAGAAAACUUUGCAAUGUGCGAAAGCACGACAAGGUUAAUCCGAGUGGUUUCUGCUAAAGGAACCUUUUGUCAGUCCUAGAAACACUGGCGAAUAAGGGGUGGGCAAGUUCUGGUGUCAAGCG
RNAcentral lists this ribosomal RNA (440 nucleotides) under uncultured archaeon. RNAcentral's name for it is "bacterial SSU rRNA". It matches the Rfam family "Archaeal small subunit ribosomal RNA", at positions 19 to 464 of the family's 1478-position model. The record is from RNAcentral.